AAGACAUAAUUCAAUUUACAUUUUAGUCAUUUAGCAGACGCUCUUAUCCAGAGCGAAUUACAGGAGCAAUUCGGGUUAAGUGUAGCCUCUUUUAGAAACCAAGAGUGAAAUAUUUACACACUCGUCUCUAACAUGUAGGCUCAGCAAUGCCGAACAGUCCCAUUACAAGUCAGAAUGUUGUUCUAACUUUUUCGGCUGAUUUUUCCCUAUGUCUGAAGUACUCUGAUAUAAAGAUCCACAGGGAAAUGCUAUCAACCCGACCUUCAGUACACUGGUCUGUAUAUCGGUUUGUAUCCGGUUUUAUUUUCAAUGCUGUUGCAAUUCGCACAUGACAAACCGAACCACAGACCAAACAGCAGACACUUCCAGCUGAUUAUGAGGAAACAUGCUUCGGUCAACUACGUUCAGUUACAUUCGGCUAUUGUUUACAUAUUGUGCAUCACGUGCAAUGAGUCUAGAGAUUGAAAACACAAGGGACAUACCGGCGCUGAAAAAAAGUUGAAUAAACAACACUCGCCUGUGAAUACCAUAUAUCCUGUUCUUACCGCCAAAAGGAUCAACAGCAUGUACAACUGGUAAAAGAAUACUUCAAAAUGAGAAGAUCCUGCCAUGGAAAAGACAACUGGGUGAACUUAAAGUGGAAAGGAUGGGAAAUAACUCACACCAUGCAACAGGACACCUUCAGCUGCGGGGUCUUUGUAAUGCAGAUGGCCAAGGAAGUUGCACAAAACUUCCCCAACAUCCCC
Molecule: long non-coding RNA, 746 nt
Organism: Salvelinus sp. IW2-2015
Lineage: Eukaryota; Metazoa; Chordata; Actinopteri; Salmoniformes; Salmonidae
Source: RefSeq, a predicted model, not a curated record